Non-coding RNA from Myotis brandtii (Brandt's bat), 75 nucleotides. The record is from Rfam. NCBI's taxonomy places the organism in Eukaryota, Metazoa, Chordata, Mammalia, Chiroptera, Vespertilionidae.
GGCAGUUCUUGGGUGACACACCCUGGAAUCGGGCUCCCUCUUCUCUGGUUCCGGGUGUGCCCCCCAAGAACUACA